UGUCCCCUGGCAAUGGGCGAGGAGACACUGUUGUUGGUGUUGCUCUUAGAUCAGUCAGGGGCAGCGCAGAUGGCAGUCUUUUGUUCAUCCUAGCUUGAUGCCUGGCUUGGUGGCCAAAGCUGUCUUAUGCAUAGGACACAUGA
Molecule: small nucleolar RNA, 143 nt
Organism: Mastomys coucha (southern multimammate mouse)
Lineage: Eukaryota; Metazoa; Chordata; Mammalia; Rodentia; Muridae
Product: small nucleolar RNA SNORA48
Exons: 1
Source: RefSeq, a predicted model, not a curated record